Scatophagus argus is the source of this 553-nucleotide long non-coding RNA. RefSeq lists it as uncharacterized. The record is from RefSeq and is a predicted model, not a curated record. NCBI's taxonomy places the organism in Eukaryota, Metazoa, Chordata, Actinopteri, Scatophagidae. The transcript has 2 exons.
AAUAAACCUAAAUCCUGCCAACCGACUGACGCCACAGCCCCACAAACACAGCGUGUGAAAUGAUGAUUGACCUCCAUUUGCAUUUCAAGUGACCAUAUUUGAGCACUUAGGUUAGAAAACAACGCGAUUCUCACCCAGCUAAUCAGCGGGGCUCCCCCUACGUCACAGUGUGAGUCAUCGUAUAGCAUUUGACCAAUCAGCAGAGUUCUGGAACGCGUCAAACUUUCUAGUUCUUGAUAACGUGAACAAAGGGGACUUGGGCCUUAAUCUUUUCCGACACUUCCGGUGAUAACGUCCAAAUUAACCAUGCUAUUGGCUCAGCUGUUUUAUGGCAAAAUGAAGAGGACUGUGGUUGUGCCAGCCCAUCCUGCCAUCAGCAAUGAUGAUGAGGAAGAAGAUGACGAUGUGGCAGACCUACUUUGUCCCACCCGCCCAUGACUUGGACAUUCCCAGCACAAGUAAGAGGAAGUGCAUACAGCCUGCUGUGGAGGUGCUUGAGGAGGAGGAGGAGGACGAUGAGGAUGAGGAUGAGGAUGAGGAGCCAGCACCACAA